GAGGGGCCCGCGCCCGAUUAGCUUGUUGGCGAGGUAACGGCUCACCAAGGCAAUGAUCGGUAGCCGGUCUGAGAGGAUGGCCGGCCACACUGGAACUGAGACACGGUCCAGACUCCUACGGGAGGCAGCAGUGGGGAAUCUUGCGCAAUGGGCGAAAGCCUGACGCAGCGACGCCGCGUGGGGGAUGAAGCUUCUCGGAGUGCAAACCCCUUUCGACCCGGACGAAACACCCGCAAGGGUUUGACGGUACGGGUAUAAGAAGCCCCGGCUAACUACGUGCCAGCAGCCGCGGUAAGACGUAGGGGGCCAGCGUUGCUCGGAAUUACUGGGCGUAAAGGGUUCGUAGGCGGUGUGGCAAGUCGGGAGUGAAAUCUCUGGGCUUAACUCAGAGGCUGCUUCCGAAACUGCCGUGCUAGAGUGCGGGAGAGGCGAGUGGAAUUGCAGGUGUAGCGGUGAAAUGCGUAGAUAUCUGCAGG
RNAcentral lists this ribosomal RNA (476 nucleotides) under uncultured Acidobacteriota bacterium. RNAcentral describes it as "bacterial SSU rRNA". It matches the Rfam family "Bacterial small subunit ribosomal RNA", at positions 224 to 704 of the family's 1533-position model. Lineage: Bacteria; Pseudomonadati; Acidobacteriota. The record is from RNAcentral.